This 464-nucleotide ribosomal RNA is filed under the name Vreelandella stevensii. Its description in RNAcentral is "partial 16S ribosomal RNA". It matches the Rfam family "Bacterial small subunit ribosomal RNA", at positions 339 to 795 of the family's 1533-position model. Lineage: Bacteria; Pseudomonadati; Pseudomonadota; Gammaproteobacteria; Oceanospirillales; Halomonadaceae. The record is from RNAcentral.
CCACGGGGGGCUGCAGUGGGGAAUAUUGGACAAUGGGCGAAAGCCUGAUCCAGCCAUGCCGCGUGUGUGAAGAAGGCCUUCGGGUUGUAAAGCACUUUCAGUGGGGAAGAAAGCCUUGGGGCUAAUACCCUCGAGGAAGGACAUCACCCACAGAAGAAGCACCGGCUAACUCCGUGCCAGCAGCCGCGGUAAUACGGAGGGUGCGAGCGUUAAUCGGAAUUACUGGGCGUAAAGCGCGCGUAGGCGGUCUGAUAAGCCGGUUGUGAAAGCCCCGGGCUCAACCUGGGAACGGCAUCCGGAACUGUCAGGCUAGAGUGCAGGAGAGGAAGGUAGAAUUCCCGGUGUAGCGGUGAAAUGCGUAGAGAUCGGGAGGAAUACCAGUGGCGAAGGCGGCCUUCUGGACUGACACUGACGCUGAGGUGCGAAAGCGUGGGUAGCAAACAGGAUUAGAUACCCGGGUAGUC